Molecule: ribosomal RNA, 745 nt
Filed under: Escherichia coli
Lineage: Bacteria; Pseudomonadati; Pseudomonadota; Gammaproteobacteria; Enterobacterales; Enterobacteriaceae
Description: partial 23S ribosomal RNA
Rfam family: Bacterial large subunit ribosomal RNA
Source: RNAcentral
CCGACCUUGAAAUACCACCCUUUAAUGUUUGAUGUUCUAACGUUGACCCGUAAUCCGGGUUGCGGACAGUGUCUGGUGGGUAGUUUGACUGGGGCGGUCUCCUCCUAAAGAGUAACGGAGGAGCACGAAGGUUGGCUAAUCCUGGUCGGACAUCAGGAGGUUAGUGCAAUGGCAUAAGCCAGCUUGACUGCGAGCGUGACGGCGCGAGCAGGUGCGAAAGCAGGUCAUAGUGAUCCGGUGGUUCUGAAUGGAAGGGCCAUCGCUCAACGGAUAAAAGGUACUCCGGGGAUAACAGGCUGAUACCGCCCAAGAGUUCAUAUCGACGGCGGUGUUUGGCACCUCGAUGUCGGCUCAUCACAUCCUGGGGCUGAAGUAGGUCCCAAGGGUAUGGCUGUUCGCCAUUUAAAGUGGUACGCGAGCUGGGUUUAGAACGUCGUGAGACAGUUCGGUCCCUAUCUGCCGUGGGCGCUGGAGAACUGAGGGGGGCUGCUCCUAGUACGAGAGGACCGGAGUGGACGCAUCACUGGUGUUCGGGUUGUCAUGCCAAUGGCACUGCCCGGUAGCUAAAUGCGGAAGAGAUAAGUGCUGAAAGCAUCUAAGCACGAAACUUGCCCCGAGAUGAGUUCUCCCUGACUCCUUGAGAGUCCUGAAGGAACGUUGAAGACGACGACGUUGAUAGGCCGGGUGUGUAAGCGCAGCGAUGCGUUGAGCUAACCGGUACUAAUGAACCGUGAGGCUUAACCUU